This 540-nucleotide ribosomal RNA is filed under the name uncultured bacterium. Its description in RNAcentral is "bacterial SSU rRNA". It matches the Rfam family "Bacterial small subunit ribosomal RNA", at positions 777 to 1320 of the family's 1533-position model. The record is from RNAcentral.
AAUAGAUACCCGGGUAGUCCACGCCCUAAACGAUGUCAACUGGUUGUUGGGGAAGGUAACUUCCUUAGUAACGAAGCUAACGCGUGAAGUUGACCGCCUGGGGAGUACGGCCGCAAGGUUAAAACUCAAAGGAAUUGACGGGGACCCGCACAAGCGGUGGAUGAUGUGGAUUAAUUCGAUGCAACGCGAAGAACCUUACCUACCCUUGACAUGUAGCGAACCCUGCUGAGAGGUGGGGGUGCCCGAAAGGGAGCGCUAACACAGGUGCUGCAUGGCUGUCGUCAGCUCGUGUCGUGAGAUGUUGGGUUAAGUCCCGCAACGAGCGCAACCCUUGUCACUAGUUGCUACGAAAGGGCACUCUAGUGAGACUGCCGGUGACAAACCGGAGGAAGGUGGGGAUGACGUCAAGUCCUCAUGGCCCUUAUGGGUAGGGCUUCACACGUCAUACAAUGACGCAUACAGAGGGUUGCCAACCCGCGAGGGGGAGCCAAUCCCAGAAAGUGCGUCGUAGUCCGGAUUGUUCUCUGCAACUCGAGAGCA